This 75-nucleotide transfer RNA is filed under the name Methanomassiliicoccales archaeon. RNAcentral's name for it is "tRNA-Gly". It matches the Rfam family "tRNA". From Rfam's summary of the family: Transfer RNA (tRNA) molecules are approximately 80 nucleotides in length. Their secondary structure includes four short double-helical elements and three loops (D, anti-codon, and T loops). Lineage: Archaea; Methanobacteriati; Thermoplasmatota; Thermoplasmata; Methanomassiliicoccales. The record is from RNAcentral.
GCGGGCAUAGUCUAGUGGUUAGGACUGAAGCUUCCCAAGCUUCGAACUCGGGUUCGAAUCCCGGUGCCCGCACCA